CUUAUUGUUUUGGAUUUCCCUCUCCCUCCACCGCCCCCACCCACUCUCCUCGCUGCAGGAUAGAAGAGAGAAGCGACCAAGCGCCGGCGACGAGGCGGGCAUGCGUCAGCGACGAGGCGGGCUCCUCUGUCCUGCCGGAAUCAUGGCGCGACGGAGAUGAGGUGGCUGGCAGCGGGGAGGAGCUCCUCCGCGACCCAGCAUCGGGACGUGGCGCGCCGGCGACGAGCCGGGCUGAUCUGUCUUGGCCAGAAUCGCGGCGCGACGGAGAUGAGGCAGGCGGCGACGGGGGGAAGUUUCACCGGUGGUGCAGGGGCCGGAUCUGGCCGAAGGCGGGGAAGAGGCAGAUGCUCGCCGGACGAGCUCGGUGUCAGCACCAGCACGCUCGUCGGGGAGUGCGGCGAGCAGCAGCCGGCUCGAUGGAGAAGGGCGGUGUGCAGAGGAGAGGCGGAGGCUCACCACCAGCACGCUCGCCGGAGAGUUCGGCGAGCAGCAACCCACCACCAGCAGGCUCGCUCGGUGGCGCUGCGGAUCCUGGGUUGGCGCGGCGAGGCCUCCUCCCCCUCGUCCCAGCCGUAGGAGGACACACAGUUCAAGUCUUCAUGGCAAGUUUUUGCUGCACUGCACUGUGAGGCUGUUUGCUGCAUCUGCUAUUUUUUUUCAAGUCUAAUCUCAUUGCUGUUAUAAAGGAAGAUGCCUACUACGACCGUGUUCGUAGUCUCGUUGAUCAGCUCCGGCCAUGGCUCCGAUUCUCAGUGAGGAAGCCAGCAGGAAGUAUAUCACUCUGCAUUUGUGAAUGCACUGAGCCGUUGUGCCAUUUCCUGCCCGCCGAGCCUUCAGAUUCGGCGCUUCGACGGAAGAACGGGGGGACUCGCCCAUCUACUUCGCCAACUCCGGUAACAUGGGCGAGAGGAUCACCACGAACGGACCAGUGCCAAGGGCAAGACCGGCGUGUAUAUUUGGCCAUGGGCUGGGCCGGGCCGGGCUUGGGCCGGGCCUAAAAAAGACCAUGGCAGAAAACUGAGGCCUAGGCCCUCCCAGGCCCUACCAUCGGGCCUACUUUUCAAGCCCAAGCCCGACCCAUCUCGUAAAAAGCCCUGAAAAGCCUUUAGGGCCGUGGGCCGGGCCUCUUCCUUAAAAUGCCAAUAUGCCAAGCCCAAGCCCGUCCAGGCCCUACUGAUGGGCUCAAAACUCAGACCCAAGCCCGGCCCAUGGAUAAGCCCAUCGGGCCUAGGCCCUGGAUUUUAGGGUCGGGCCUGGGUGGGCCGACAGGGCCGGGCCUGAGAUGGCCAGGACUACCGGCGUGUAGUACAUCGUCGUUGACAUGGGUGCAGCCAUCAGCAGCAUCGUCAGGAGGGGCAUGCUGGACGAGCUCAAGAAGACCCUGGAUAGGAGGGGAAUUCAGGUAAGAACAGAGGAACACAAACUGCCAUGUUUCUGAAGAAAAUAGAGCAUGCUUUUUGUGAUAUGAACCAUGGCUGAUUCACCAUUUUGUAAACCUAAACUUUUCCAGCAAACGUGGGAGAAAUUUAUAUUCAGUUAACACAUGGAAUUUAUAUUCAGAUGAUAUGGCUACUUCAUAUUAGGGAGAAAUUUUAGAGUGGAGAGCAUAUUAAGUUACCAUCAGUUCUUUUGACAUACCAAAUUGAUGCUGGAACCAUAUGCACUGGUAAUGUUAAUUGCCAUGGCAAAAAUACUUUUUAAUAAAGUUGCCAUCAGUUUUUUAUUCA
This is a long non-coding RNA of Triticum aestivum (bread wheat), 1727 nucleotides long. RefSeq lists it as uncharacterized. Lineage: Eukaryota; Viridiplantae; Streptophyta; Magnoliopsida; Poales; Poaceae. The record is from RefSeq and is a predicted model, not a curated record. The transcript has 3 exons.